AAUAAAAUUGCAUAAAGAAGAAAAAUACUGAGCACAAAAGACAAGAUAACAUUGAUCGCAAGCGGGAGAUAAAAACACAUUAUUUUUCCAUGCUAAAAUUACCUAAUAAAGAAGGCGUAACCACAUCACUAGAAUCUAAGAUAAUUCAGGUAUGUAGAAAUAUACCUUAUCCGAAAUUACUAAUAUUGUUCUUGAUUAUUUUUCAGGUAUUUAUUCUUCCUCAAACUGAAGCAAUUUUAGAACUGUCUUGCAUGGUUUGAAUCCUCGCCACUCAGAGCUGGAUGAUGCUAACCUUAUAACACCUAUCUCUAGAGAAGAAAUCAAAAGAGC
RNAcentral lists this long non-coding RNA (330 nucleotides) under Manihot esculenta (cassava). RNAcentral describes it as "long non-coding RNA (MESC_LNC000550)". Lineage: Eukaryota; Viridiplantae; Streptophyta; Magnoliopsida; Malpighiales; Euphorbiaceae. The record is from RNAcentral.